GACGAACGCUGGCGGCGUGCUUAACACAUGCAAGUCGAACGGAAAGACCCUGCUUUUGCGGGGUGCUCGAGUGGGGAACGGGUGAGUAACACGCGAGUAUCCUGCCCCUGACUUUGGGAUAACUUCAGGAAACUGGGGCUCAUACCGGGUAGAAGCUACUGCUGCAUGGGGGUGGAUGGAAAGUUUCGGCGGUUGGGGAUGGUAUCGAGGCUUAUCGGCUUGUUGGUGGGGUAGUGGCUUACCAAGGCUUUGACGGGUAGCCGGCCUGGGAGGGUGGCCGGCGUCAUGGGGCCUGAGAUACGGCCCAGACUCCUACGGUCGGCAGUAGUGGGGAAUAUUGCACAAUGGGCGGAAGCCUGAUGCAGCAACGCCGCGUGCGGGAUGACGUCCUUCGGGUUGUAAACCGCUUUGGCCUGUGACGAAGCGGGAGUGACGGUAAUGGGUAAAGAAGCACCGGCUAACUACGUG
Molecule: ribosomal RNA, 468 nt
Filed under: uncultured bacterium
Lineage: Bacteria
Description: partial 16S ribosomal RNA
Rfam family: Bacterial small subunit ribosomal RNA
Source: RNAcentral